This 545-nucleotide long non-coding RNA is filed under the name Ursus maritimus (polar bear). RNAcentral describes it as "lncRNA (ENSUMAG00000014714.1)". Lineage: Eukaryota; Metazoa; Chordata; Mammalia; Carnivora; Ursidae. The record is from RNAcentral.
AGCCCAGGGAGCACUGGAGUUUUUGCUGUGCUUCAGAGACCUCUGAAAUUCUAUGGUUAGAGGCAGAUAUGAAAGAGCAGGAUGAAGAGUAUUGAGCUUUGUUCAUUUUCAUAGUGAAGCCACAAGACAAGAAUUUCAACACCCAAUUCUUCGUUGCCUCCAAGGAAUUGUGAAUGGAAAACGGAAGAACUGCUUCUAAAAUGCAGAAUGAUCAUUCCUGAAGGUGGCUUCGCAGAAACAGUGUUUACUGGGAUUUUCUCGGCAAUGACCAAAUCCAAACUGUGAGGAGGACUAUACAAAGUCAUCCUUCAAAAUUCACCAUUCAUCUUUUCCAUUCAUCACUGGUACUUAUCCUGCAUUUUCAGCUAUUUCAUUGUUGAAUUCGGGGUUUUCUGGGUUGUACAAGGAAUGUAGUUAGAAUAGGCUGAGGAUUUUAUCAAGGGUAAGAUUAUUUUGGUAAAAAGCCUUAUGAAUAGCUCUAUAAUUAUUGUUUUAGAAUUCUCAGAAUUUGCAGAGGUUCCUAGAAGCUUCUCAAUAAACUGAAA